RNA transcript from Rhodamnia argentea, 927 nucleotides. RefSeq lists it as uncharacterized. The record is from RefSeq and is a predicted model, not a curated record. NCBI's taxonomy places the organism in Eukaryota, Viridiplantae, Streptophyta, Magnoliopsida, Myrtales, Myrtaceae. The transcript is spliced from 3 exons.
GUCCAGUGAUUUAUAUCCAUGGGAAACACAAGACGCAUCAUCAAACGUUUGGGUAAACGAGUGGUGCAGGUAAGCUACGAGUUAGAAGAGAAGGUUGAGAAACAACGCAAUGGUCGCAAGCUACACUCUAAUUCAGGGACUGCAAAUGUGAACGCGUCAGGUAAUACCUACCUAUGUAUAUUGCUCUGAAGUUCUGCAUCAUGAUAUACUAAUGUGGUCCAAGUAUUGGUCUGGUUUGAUAGUGUUUUAUCCUUCUUUUGAUAUUUUUAGAAUUUACUGUCUGAUAGAUUCCUCUAGAAAACGAAAGCGCGGGUUCACGCGUCUUCCGGGUGUAUGGAAUCUUCCUCCUGGGAAACGCAUCAGGGUUCUGUUAGGGAAGAAAAUGCAGCCUAUUGGAGUUGAAGGAGGUUUGCUCGGGGAGUUUCUCGGGACCAUUGCUAGAAAUGGCGAGUUGGCACCAUUGUUCACAACUUGGAAGCAAAUUACUGAAGAUAUGAGACAUGCUAUGAUUCGGAUUGUAGAGGUUGUUAGCUAGUGUUCAGACAAAAUUCCACUCAUCAUGUUAUAAAGUAUAUAACAUCAUUAUGAAUUUUUCUUUUUUGUAGUCCAAAUUUGAUUAUCCUCGUAUACCAGCUAUGGAAAAAUGGAUUCUACAUUCCAUAAACUCUAAAUGGAGAAAUUGGAAAAGCAAUCUAAAAGCUGCUCACUACGAUAGCUCUCAGCCAUUAUCAUAUCAUCUGAAGCAUCUUCCGGAAAGGGUGAGAAGAGAUCAAUGGAAAAAUCUUGUCGCUUUUUGGAGUUCAAAGGAAGGGAAGAAGCUGAGCAACAUAAAUAAGGCUAAUAGAGCAAAACAGAAGAUACGGCACACCUUAGGGAAAAAAAGUUUUGCAAGGAUAACAGCAGAAAAGGAAGCAGAGUUAGGAAGGG